AUUGAACGCUGGCGGCAUGCUUUACACAUGCAAGUCGAACGGUAACAGGUUAAGCUGACGAGUGGCGAACGGGUGAGUAAUGCAUCGGAACGUGCCCGAUCGUGGGGGAUAACGCAGCGAAAGCUGCGCUAAUACCGCAUACGAUCUGAGGAUGAAAGCGGGGGACCGUAAGGCCUCGCGCGAUCGGAGCGGCCGAUGUCAGAUUAGGUAGUUGGUGGGGUAAAGGCUCGCCAAGCCAACGAUCUGUAGCUGGUCUGAGAGGACGACCAGCCACACUGGGACUAGGACACGGCCCAGACUCCUACGGGAGGCAGCAGUGGGGAAUUUUGGACAAUGGGCGAAAGCCUGAUCCAGCAAUGCCGCGUGCAGGAAGAAGGCCUUCGGGUUGUAAACUGCUUUUGUACGGAGCGAAAAGGCUCUCUCUAAUACAGGGGGCUCAUGACGGUACCGUAAGAAUAAGCACCGGCUAACUACGUGCCAGCCGCCGCAGUAA
This 493-nucleotide ribosomal RNA is filed under the name uncultured bacterium. RNAcentral's name for it is "partial 16S ribosomal RNA". It matches the Rfam family "Bacterial small subunit ribosomal RNA", at positions 30 to 523 of the family's 1533-position model. The record is from RNAcentral.